This 400-nucleotide ribosomal RNA is filed under the name uncultured bacterium. Its description in RNAcentral is "bacterial SSU rRNA". It matches the Rfam family "Bacterial small subunit ribosomal RNA", at positions 37 to 433 of the family's 1533-position model. The record is from RNAcentral.
UGGNGGCAUGCCUGACACAUGCAAGUCGAACGGCAACGAGGUCUAGCUUGCUAGAUUGCCGGCGAGUGGCGAACGGGUGAGUAAUGCGCAGGAAUAUGCCUUAAAGAGGGGGACAACUUGGGGAAACUCAAGCUAAUACCGCAUAAGCUCUUAGGAGUAAAGCUGGGGACCGCAAGGCCUGGCGCUUUAAGAAUAGCCUGCGUCCGAUUAGCUAGUUGGUGGGGUAAUGGCCUACCAAGGCGACGAUCGGUAGCUGGUCUGAGAGGAUGGCCAGCCACACUGGGACUGAGACACGGCCCAGACUCCUACGGGAGGCAGCAGUGGGGAAUAUUGGACAAUGGGGGGAACCCUGAUCCAGCAAUGCCGCGUGUGUGAAGAAGGCCUGAGGGUUGUAAAGCAC